AACUAACGCUGGCGGCGUGCCUAACACAUGCAAGUCGUACGAGAAAGUUGGCUUCGGCCGAUGAGUACAGUGGCGCACGGGUGAGUAACGCGUGGAUAAUCUGCCCUUAAGUGUGGAAUAACGUACCGAAAGGUGCGCUAAUACCGCAUAAUGCCUGGCAACAUAAGUUGUCCGGCCAAAGAAGGCCUCUGCUUGCAAGCUUUCGCUAAAGGAUGAGUCCGCGUACCAUUAGCUAGUUGGUGGGGUAACGGCCUACCAAGGCGACGAUGGUUAGCUGGUCUGAGAGGAUGAUCAGCCACACUGGAACUGAGACACGGUCCAGACUCCUACGGGAGGCAGCAGUGAGGAAUAUUGCGCAAUGGGGGCAACCCUGACGCAGCAACGCCGCGUGAGUGAGGAAGGUUUUCGGACUGUAAAGCUCUGUCGAGCGGGAAGAAGUGUACCAUGGCUAAUAUCCAUGAUAUUUGACGGUACCG
Molecule: ribosomal RNA, 476 nt
Filed under: uncultured bacterium
Lineage: Bacteria
Description: bacterial SSU rRNA
Rfam family: Bacterial small subunit ribosomal RNA
Source: RNAcentral